CUAUAGGGAAGAAGAGGAUCUAGACUAUGGGCUGACCAGGCCUGAGGGAGUAACCUUAAGGAGCCGCUAAGCCUGUUAAUACACAGUUGGACUUCACGUACCGCAUGUUUGUGGGGAACCUGGUGCUAAAUCAUUCGUAGAGGAUCUGCUCAAUUAAGGAACUCAAAUAUAAUGUUUAAAGACCUCAUUCAGUACAGAACAUGCUGGCAUGCGGCAUCAUGGAUUUUUAUUUAUUUUGUUUUCAGUAUUAAGUUUUCCAUAACACCUUGUGGUUGAAAACAAAGCAAAGAGCAUUAGAAAUAUCAGAAAUGUCAAGUCUGGUCUUCCUUGGUGUUGCUGGAGGACCUCUUGGAUAUCUUGAACGUGUGUAUAGUGAGCUCUGAUACUAUACUUGAUGGGAUGGGAUGGUGAAUGUUCACCAAAGAUUUCCUUUCUCCUAAAUGUCUAUACACUGAAUUAAAUUACUGUUAACCAAAGCAAAGCAAACGAAGUAGAGUUCUAAGCAGUCUCAAUAAAAAUCUUUCCCCCUUGGUUGAUCAUCAUUUUAGUCUGAUUUCUGUGAUGUCAUAAAGAAGCAGAAUUUUUCACGCAUCAGAAAGAAGCAAAGGAGAACAAGCCCAAUUUUCCCUCCUUUGCAAGUCCCCUUUAACUAUAAAGUUCCCUUUAUAUCUACAGAUAUUCUUACAUACCCUGAUCCAGCAAACCACCUUAAGCAUAUGAGUAGCCUUCUUACCUCAAUAAAAAGCUUAAAGCCAAGCUCCUUAAGUGCUUUUUCUGCAUUGGGGCCAUUGGUAAGGGGGGAUCCUUGGAAAUAAUUGAACUAUGUGAAUAUUAGGCAAAUGUUUUGUGCUGUUCAUUCAGAUAUUUAAACCAAUUCACUUCAAUUAUGUGUGUUCUACUGUUAAGUUUU
Long non-coding RNA from Dermochelys coriacea (leatherback sea turtle), 910 nucleotides. RefSeq lists it as uncharacterized. NCBI's taxonomy places the organism in Eukaryota, Metazoa, Chordata, Testudines, Dermochelyidae. The transcript is spliced from 3 exons. The record is from RefSeq and is a predicted model, not a curated record.